RNAcentral lists this RNase P RNA (402 nucleotides) under Paenibacillus agilis. RNAcentral describes it as "RNase P RNA component class A". It matches the Rfam family "Bacterial RNase P class A". From Rfam's summary of the family: Ribonuclease P (RNase P) is a ubiquitous endoribonuclease, found in archaea, bacteria and eukarya as well as chloroplasts and mitochondria. Its best characterised activity is the generation of mature 5'-ends of tRNAs by cleaving the 5'-leader elements of precursor-tRNAs. Cellular RNase Ps are ribonucleoproteins. Lineage: Bacteria; Bacillati; Bacillota; Bacilli; Caryophanales; Paenibacillaceae. The record is from RNAcentral.
AAAGUUUGACAGACAAUCGCUGGUGGUGCAAACCACGAGAGGAAAGUCCGGGCUCCACAAGGCAGGAUGCUGGAUAACGUCCAGUCAGCGCGAGUUGAAGGAUAGUGCCACAGAAAUGGACCGCCGAUGGCCGCUUAUGCGGCACAGGUAAGGGUGGAACCGUGGUGUAAGAGACCACGAGGAACGCUGGUGACUUCGUUCCUGGUAAACCCCAUCUGGAGCAAGACCUAAUGGGACGCAAGCCCUGCAAAGGGCUAACCUUAGCCUGAGGUGCGUCUGGGUUGGUCGCUGGAGCUGCUUAGUAAUAGGCAGCCUAGAUAGAUGAUUGUCACUCCGUAGUGGGAGGGUUGUUCCCGUAAUACCACGAUCAGUACAGAACCCGGCUUAUGGCAAGCUUUCCAU